AUUGAACGCUGGCGGCAGGCUUAACACAUGCAAGUCGAACGGUAACAUAAAGAAGCUUGCUUCUUUGAUGACGAGUGGCGGACGGGUGAGUAAUGCUUGGGAAUCUAGCUUAUGGAGGGGGAUAACUACGGGAAACUGUAGCUAAUACCGCGUAGAAUCGAGAGGUGAAAGUGUGGGACCUUCGGGCCACAUGCCAUAGGAUGAGCCCAAGUGGGAUUAGGUAGUUGGUGAGGUAAAGGCUCACCAAGCCGACGAUCUCUAGCUGGUCUGAGAGGAUGACCAGCCACACUGGGACUGAGACACGGCCCAGACUCCUACGGGAGGCAGCAGUGGGGAAUAUUGCGCAAUGGGGGCAACCCUGACGCAGCCAUGCCGCGUGAAUGAAGAAGGCCUUCGGGUUGUAAAGUUCUUUCGGUAGCGAGGAAGGCAUUUAGUUUAAUAGACUAGGUGAU
RNAcentral lists this ribosomal RNA (452 nucleotides) under Terrahaemophilus aromaticivorans. RNAcentral's name for it is "bacterial SSU rRNA". It matches the Rfam family "Bacterial small subunit ribosomal RNA", at positions 30 to 476 of the family's 1533-position model. The record is from RNAcentral. Lineage: Bacteria; Pseudomonadati; Pseudomonadota; Gammaproteobacteria; Pasteurellales; Pasteurellaceae.